UGUAGGAGUGAGCCUGCUCGCGAUAGCGGUAUGUCAGUCAGUACAUCUGUAGCUGAGAGAACGCUAUCGCGAGCAGGCUCACUCCUACA
Molecule: unclassified non-coding RNA, 89 nt
Filed under: Pseudomonas granadensis
Lineage: Bacteria; Pseudomonadati; Pseudomonadota; Gammaproteobacteria; Pseudomonadales; Pseudomonadaceae
Source: RNAcentral